This 465-nucleotide ribosomal RNA is filed under the name Vreelandella stevensii. RNAcentral describes it as "partial 16S ribosomal RNA". It matches the Rfam family "Bacterial small subunit ribosomal RNA", at positions 338 to 795 of the family's 1533-position model. The record is from RNAcentral. Lineage: Bacteria; Pseudomonadati; Pseudomonadota; Gammaproteobacteria; Oceanospirillales; Halomonadaceae.
CCUACGGGCGGCAGCAGUGGGGAAUAUUGGACAAUGGGCGAAAGCCUGAUCCAGCCAUGCCGCGUGUGUGAAGAAGGCCUUCGGGUUGUAAAGCACUUUCAGUGGGGAAGAAAGCCUUGGGGCUAAUACCCUCGAGGAAGGACAUCACCCACAGAAGAAGCACCGGCUAACUCCGUGCCAGCAGCCGCGGUAAUACGGAGGGUGCGAGCGUUAAUCGGAAUUACUGGGCGUAAAGCGCGCGUAGGCGGUCUGAUAAGCCGGUUGUGAAAGCCCCGGGCUCAACCUGGGAACGGCAUCCGGAACUGUCAGGCUAGAGUGCAGGAGAGGAAGGUAGAAUUCCCGGUGUAGCGGUGAAAUGCGUAGAGAUCGGGAGGAAUACCAGUGGCGAAGGCGGCCUUCUGGACUGACACUGACGCUGAGGUGCGAAAGCGUGGGUAGCAAACAGGAUUAGCUACCCCAGUAGUC